RNAcentral lists this long non-coding RNA (8739 nucleotides) under Equus caballus (horse). RNAcentral's name for it is "lncRNA (ENSECAG00000046976.1)". Lineage: Eukaryota; Metazoa; Chordata; Mammalia; Perissodactyla; Equidae. The record is from RNAcentral.
GGAAGUUAAUGAGCAAUCCAAAUGUUUAAUCAAAAAAAAAAAAAAAAACCCCACAAUGGCCUCAGUAUUUGGACCUGAGUGACGAAAACCCUGGUAGCCUUCCAGGGGGAAGCUGUUGGGGGAACUGCACUUGGCGUGGGGAGGCAGGAGCCUGGCUCACAGUGGGUCAGCUCUGAGAUGCUGGAGAUCCCCAAGGGGGCUGAGAAGACAAGUGGGGGCGCCGGAAGCGAACAGGUCAGGCCCUCCAGAUCCAGGACUCGAAUCCAAGCAGGCUUCUGACGGCAGCGUCCCCAGAGAUGCGACCGCCUGGAUCUGUUGGCUCCACCUUCAAGACAUCUCUGGCAUCGGACACCCCCUACCUCCCAAGGCGUCCCCCUGCCCGCCCUUCACAGUCCACCACCCAGCAGCAGCCAGAGGGGCCCCCGUGAAACCGAGCCAGGACGCCCUCCGCUGCUGGGCCGCAGGAGGAUCGAAGCCCAGCCCGGCCCACAGGAACCUUGCCGGUGCCAGAAGACCAGCCUGCAGGCCCGAGGCUGCAGCCUCCCUGGGUGCUCCCGGAGAGGAGGAGAGAGGGCAGCACCAAGGCUGGCUUAGAGGUCCCCCCAGUACCGUCUCCAGCAGCCUCAACCCUGCUGGGGGUCCCCCUCUCAGGGCUGGUUUAUCCCUCCUUCCUGCCCUCCUCAGCUCUCCUGGUCCUUCCAGUGCUCCUGGCUCGGCGAUGCACAUCUCAGGGCACCCCAGCCCCUCCUGUGGGUCUUCCCUGCCUGCUCCAGCCCUCACCACCUGCACGGAGCUCCUGGGGGCGGGGCCGGUCUGUCCUGCCCUUGGACAUCCUCCCGGGAGACGCCCAGCACCAAACCAGCGCAGAGUCCACUGCCCCUGCUGCAUGGACCAGGGAGCCUUCUGGUGGGUCUGGAGGGAGGCCUAGCUGCUGGGUGCGGGUCGUGAUGGGCCCCUCCCCGAACUGGCCAGGGAGGGUGUGGGAAGUGUCCCUGUCGGACCCGGGUCAGUGGGGCUCCCCACCUGGGGCCCUGGGGAGGAGGCUGCCCAGGGAGGCUGGACGGGAGCUUAGCAGGAGCAGCCCCCUGCCACGGGUGGCGUGGGGCCCACCAGGUGGCAGCUGCCAGCUUCCCUCCCCACUGCCUAUGGUUUGGACUUUCUCUCCCAGGCCAGUGGUGAGGGGUGUUUCAUUACAGCUGGUCCCACCUGGCCUCCUCCACGUGGGCCCUGUUCCCGGCUCCUGCCUGGGUCCCCUAACCCGCGACAGCCCCACAUUCGGUGGGGGUCAACAAGGUGGGAGAAACCAGUCCUGGAUGGCACCACGGAGGGAGUGACAUUGGUGCUGGGUAUGGGAGAUGUGUAGGAAGGAAAGGAGCCUGAUGCUCCAGGUGGAGGGGCGGGACCAAGCAAAGGCCCCGAUGGCAGGAGUCCAGGGUGUGGGGUGUGCGGAUGUCACAGGGGAGGGGCGGUGAGUGCCCAGAGCAUCAGGCCAGGGAGCUUGGUUUAGAACUGAGGGUGCUGGGGAGCCAUAGAGUACUCUGGAGAGAGGGGAGUGGCCUACUCUGCCUAGAGGGCAAAGCCUGCCUGGCCACACAUCAGCCAUCAGGAAGCGCUCAGUGUAGUCCCACCCAUGGGGAGGACAUGGCACUUCACUGUAGGAGCUCCCGGCUGACCACAGCCAUGGGUAGUGCCCUCUUCCCUGCAGGUUGGCCCAUGGCUGAACACGAGAGGUGGGAGUGGGCCGGAGGGCAGGCGGUGAAGGGAAAGGGCACGGCCUGGACAAAGGGCAGAGAUGGGAAUGCGCAGGGCGUGUGCCCAGGAUGGGAGGAGCCAUCAGACUUGGCUGGGCCCUGGAUGUCCAGAACAGCGGGAGCAGCCCGAUGCCACUGGCCGCAGGCCCGUGGAGUCCUCGUGGAUCCCUCGUGGCUCAAAGCCCAGACAGCUCCCAGACACGCGGCCUGGGGGGCAUCUUGUGGCCCCUUGUAGCCCGGCCUUGGAUCCUGACCCCUGAGCUGCCAGCCUGGACCCGAGGUGGGUGGCACGGGGGCCUCAGGGCCACCACCUCCUCACCAAGCACUCGCUCAUCCAUCUCAGAGAAAAGUCAGGAGAUGUUACAAGCCGAAAACUCCGCCGGUAAACAAAGUCAGGGUCUGAUUGUGAAAGGGAAAACUGAAACCCCGGAGGGGCCCUGAAUCCCUAGACGGGCUUCCCCGAAUCUCCAGGAGCAGCAGGACUGAUCUGGGCUGUGUGGCUGGCCAAGGGCAAGGCCCCGGAUGCGGGAGGCAGGGAUCAGAUCCUCACACGCUCACGCCAGCCCAGAUCACGGAUGCCAUCCCUGCAAUUGGGUGGCCCAAAAGGCCAGGGGCACCAUGUGGCCAGGAGGUGCCACGUGGACAUCACUUGAGGCCCACCUGCUCCCUGGGGUCCCUGGCUUGCGCAGAUGUCCCCAAAGGGGCAUGGUCUCUAAUCCUGCCUGGUCAGCCCAUCCUGGGACUGCAGGGGCCAGACCAGAUCAUGUCACCCGGCAGGGGGUCCCCAGGAGCUUGAACUCCACUGUCCCCCAUUGUGGGUUCUAUGUUGCCCCACAGGAGGCCCAGUCCCCUCAACCUCCCUGUCCACCUCCCUUCUCCAAGCAGCCCAAGCUUCCUAGUCCCAAGGGAGCCCCUUGUCCGGGUGCCACAGUCGCCCUGCCCCUGUCAGAAUGCCCUGGACCUCUGCUGGCCUCACUCGCCUUCCUGCAGGGUCCUCCCUUCCUGCUGGUCCCGGCCUCCCCUCUGCAGCCCCUGUACUCUGCCUCUGCUCCCCAGCCAGCCUGCCCUCCACCUCUGUCAGCCCCUGGGCUGCCUCUGCCUCCAGUGGACAGGCCCCAGCCCAGGGCCAGCCCUCCUGCCCCCGUGCACCGCGGCUAGUAGCUUCCAACUUACAGCGGCUGUCCAUAUCACCCCCUCUCAAGACAGUCUCUAGCCCCAGCUGUUGCCCACCGGACCUUGGGCCCCCUGGAGGGAAGCGGUGGCAGUCAUCAGCUGGGCACCUUGCUGGAAGCCCGCUGCCGUGACUACCGGGCCAUGCCCAAUGCCCCCUGCACGUCCCCCAUCAACAGAUCCCUUCUCUGGCCAGCCUUGGCCACCACCCUCACUGAGCGCAUGUCCACCCUGGGGUCCUCACCCCAACAAGAGCCCUCUUCUCUCCUGUCUCCCGGUCUCCCCUCUCAGCUGCCCUGACUGGCAGCCAAGCUUCCUGCAGGGCCCCCCGCCCAGCCAUCCUGCUGCCCCAACCAGCCUCAGAGAGCCUGGCGUCUAGGACCCCUUGCUGGGCAACCGUGCCAGAACACUUCAAGCCUCUCCCCUAAGUCCUGACAUUUUGGAUUCCUGCUUCAGAGAAGGCUGGAGUCUCAAAACAGCUUGUAUCCUUCUUCUGACGGGGAGCUCAUCCCUUCACAGCAUGGAUCCUUUUGAUUGUUAGAAAGUUCUCCCCCCACCCCCCAGCUCCCCACUCAGGGCAGCUCCCAGGCCCCAGGGGUCUCUUUACUGGGGGAAGUGGCAGCACCGAUUUUGAAAUCCUUUUGAAAAUGUUUUUCCUUUGUUUUGUUUUAUUUAGAAAUUUCCCAAAUUUUUACCAAGUUAAAGACACAACCACAAGAAUGUGUAGCCUGGGUGGACAACUGGCAUAAACAGCCCCUCCCCCACUGCCCAUCCUCCCCCCAAACCACCGCCCCCCAACUCAGCAGCAAAAAAUGUCAAACAUGUAUAAGAAAACAGACAGUGGGGUGAACGGAGCUGGGCAAGGGACCCAGAAUUGCACAUGAACACACACACAUGCACACGCAUAUGCACACAGAAAAAAGCACACGUGCACACACACAUAAAUAAGCACUGUGCACACACAUGUGCAGACAUACAUGUGCAGACAAGAAAACUCACAUGCACAUACACACUUAUGCAUAUACACAGCACACACUCUCAUGCAUGCACAUAUAAACACACAUAUGCACAUGCGUUCACAUACACGUGUGCACAAACACACAUACACACGUGCACACACAAACACCACACAUUCAGACUUGCACACACGUGCAUACACACACACACACUGCUGCGGGGAGGUGACCCUCUCCCCCGUCCUGGCUGCAAAGUAGAGACAGCUUGGGGUGAGUCCAUCCCCACCUCUGGCCCUGCCAGCAGUCAUUUUCCCUCUGGCUGCCUCCAUUUCCCCUUCACCUCCCCCUACAUCUCCCAAGGUCCUUUGGAGAAUCCGGUGGCUCAGAGGUGGCGGGCUCUGUAAAUCAGCACACACAUGCACGGGAUGCGGGGCUCCGGCUCUGUGUCCCACAGAGGUCUUCAGAGCUGGGGGCCCAGCAGCCACCCCAGGGCUAGGAGGUCACCCUUGGGCCAUGGCAGUCCCAUAACAGACAAAGACUUGACUAUCACACCAUGGAGGACCCCCUUCUCAGAGGUCACUGGGACUCAAGAAGCCUGGACACAGUGUUGAGUAGGGACAUAGCACCCGUCUUUAGAGCCCCAGGCUGCACCCCUCAAGCCUGCACCCCCAGGCUGCACCCCCCAGGCUGCAUCCCUGAGCUUGCACCCCCAAGCUUGCAACCCUAGGCCAUACCCCCUCAGGCUGCAUCUCCGAGCCUGCACCCCAAGCCUGCACCUCCAGGCCGCACCCCCUCAGGCUAUAUCCCCAAGCCUGCACCCCCAGCCUGCACCCCCCAGCCUGCACCGCUCAGGAGGCCCCAGCUGCCCCCUAGGAGCCUUUUCUAUCCCACCAUGAGCCGCCCUGGUCCUCCAGAGCUUCCCUGGUCAGAUUAUCUCCCAGAGCCAGCUCGUCUCACCAACUUCACUGCCUGGGGGCCCAGUUCCUUGGCCCAGGACACACAGCUUUAAGAAACCGAGUUGGGAUUCGAACUCAGGCCUUCCUGCACCAAGAGCCCCUCCAUCACGCUCCUGCAGGCCUGAGAACCAGCUCCGACAGCUCCGUGCGCUGGGUGUGGCCCCGGGAGCCCCCCUACCCCUAAGGAUGGCGGCGCUCAGCCUACGGGAGCAGAAUUGGCAGGGAAGUUUUGGGCAAGGGGGAGAUUUUGAGGGCCGAUGGGAGGGUCUCGGAGCCUGAGGUCGCACCUCCAGGACGAUGAGCAAGUCCCCUUAGCGAGAGGCGGGCUGGGCUCGGGGAAUUUUGCUGGCACAGAGGCAGGAAGGAGAGGCUCUUGGCCUUCCGAAAUGUUUACUACAUCAGGAAAUUAAUUCACUACGCACGGGCUUCAGUGACGAAGAAUAAAAACACACACACACACUCACUCGGGACAAAUUGAGUCCAGGCCUGGUCAGCCUCUGCCUGCCUGGGGGAGGCGGGGAGGGCUUGGGCCCACCACGGUCACAGACCAUGAGCUGGGGGUCAGGCGGGGGGCCAAGGGCAGGGCUGCAUCCCACCCCACCCACCCAGGCCCCGGCCCCUGCCGAGCUGUCACCGUUACACAACUCCAGACUCUGUUUCUUCAUGAAUGCCCUGCCGAGGGGGGCCACUGACCUGCAGCCUCAGGAAUGUGCCUUUCCAGAGCCCGGGGGAGGGGGACGUGGGGCAGCCGCUGCACUGAUGGUCCAGCCUGCUGGCUGCUUACCCACCGGCUGGGGUGAUCAAGCAGCACCGGGGGUCCCCAGCACCCCCCACACUUGCCUGGGCUAGUCCAGACCAGACAGGAAGGCCUGCUGUGCUCCUGCAAUGGUCCGGGCGGGCUCUGGACCAGGAGCUGGGGCACGGGUGCUGAUGGGGGCAGGGGAGCAAGGGAGGAUCCUGAGGAGGGGACCUGAACCAGAGGGCAGCACUGCCUCCCUUUUGCCCCCAGAGGCUGCUACCUGCCAUCAGUCAGAGAGCGCUUCUUCUCAUCCCAGCUGCUGGGCUGGCCCCCUCGUCAACUGCUCAUCUGUAAAAUGGGGCAAUCUCACAUCCCCUGGCAGUGCUGCCCAGAGAACUCAGAGCAAGCCCUUGGCCCUUGCCUUCCCUUCUCCCAUCCUGACGCAUGUCUGCUCCCUGCCUUCCCCCUCAUGCCUGCAUGCAUGCUGUUCCAGCCUUCAGAAAUGCCAUUCCCUGGUGAUAGCUGCUCCAAUCCCCUGGCUGCGUCCUCAGGCAGCCAGCGUUCCCAGUGCCUGGGGUGGUCCAUGUUCCACCUGCUCACAGCAUCCCUGCGAAGGACAUACCGGGGAGAUGCCCACUGUGCAGAUGGAGAAACUGAGGCACAGAGGGACAGCUGACUUGCCAAGGUCCCGCAGCUGGAGACACAGCCUCCUGCCAGCUCUGGGUCUCUCUCCAGCUCCUGGACCCUGGUUCAGGAGACACCCCCUUGCUCACCGAGACCAUCCCCCACAUCCCACGGCCUGAUGUCUCUGGAGGACUGAGCUGACCACGCUCCUUCCCUGCCCCAACCUGGCCCUCCAGCUCCCCAGGGCUUCUGUGAGGCCCUCACCAGGGGCCCCGCGGCCACCUCUAUCCUGUCCCCUAGGCGCUACCAUGCCCGGCCCUCACUAUCGCCAGUCUCAGGGUCCCCAGCAUCCACUCCUCCCCCAGAAGGCCAUGUGUCACUAUGCCUGGCUGUGGCCUCUUCUCCCCUAAGCUCUGAGUGCCCGGGGCAGAGACAAUUCACCGCCACAUGGCCGGCCGGUGCUGUCCCUGAGACACCUGAGAGGUGAGAGGUCACUGAGGAACCCGAGUCUUGCUGGGGGCCCUCCCCCUACUCCAUGGGCAUCAGAGGCCCUCGGCUUUGCCCUGUGGAUGCAGGAACCUGGGGUGGAGAAUGCACACGGCUCUGGGGGUUGCUGCGUGGCCCAGCCACAUCCCUCACAGCCCUAAGUGGUGUGUGGGGCUGGCAGGAGGGAGUCCCUGCGUCUUCACACAAGACAGGGACAGAGAGGGUGCUGCUGGCCGCUAAUGGACAGGGAAGGCCGUCAGGUGGCAUUGGUCCUCCCGCCUGCCCACUGUAGUCACACCCCGCCAGCUGUGGAGGGAAGAACCACGUGGCAAAGGCAUCAAGGCCGGGUGGAGAAAGAUGGAUGUCUGGUCCAGGCCCCUCAAGGCCCAGGGAUGCUUGGGGGCACUCGAGACUCUCGGGGGGGACCCGGAAUAGAGCAGAGGCAUCGGCUCUCCCGAGACGCACACGCCAGCCAGAUGCAGGACGGGGCCUAGGAGUCCAGACCUGCCAGGGAGUAGCCUCCGUCGUCCAGGGGUGGACUUCUGCUCCAUCUUGGGCUGCAGCUCAGCUCAACACGGCCUCUAGCCUCAGCCUCCACCUCCCGCCUCCUCCCUGCACCAGGGACUGGGCCCGCCAAACCCUGACCUGCGCACCUCCUGCAGCCCCAGGUGCCCUGUGCUGCCCCCCUGGUUUGGUUUCGGGAAAGUGGGGCUGGUUUGCAUUUGAUGCUGAGGAAGACUCAGCCACCUGGGCCCCCUGGGCUGUGGGAAGGACCUGCCCCAGCUGUGCCAACACGGAGUGCUAGGCUGGGCAGGGCCAGGCUGGGCUGGCUGACUGGGCAGCACCCACCUGGGUGUAGGCUCUGCCCUCGGUUGUGGGAGGCUGUGCCUAAUCAUCACCCAAUCAAGUGGAGCUGAGCAGACUGCGCCAAGCGGCAGGGCGCGGGCCGAGGGGCGGGCGCUGCCACCCGAGGUGGCUUCCAGCUGCAACCCAGCAGCGUCCGGUGCAUCUUUGGCAGGCGCCCCCGCCAGACACCCUUUUCCUCCCCUUGACCCCGUGGCUUCCUGCGCUUCUUGGCCCCGCAGCCAGCUCGGCCGAGCCCUCCCUACAGCCCGAGGCUCCCUGUUCUGCCCUGGCGGCUCAGAGCAACCACAACGUCUGCAAACAUUCCAACCCUCUGGACCCUGGUCGUGGCCCGUCCUCUGCCUCCACGUGCCAAGGGGCCAAGAUGUGGCGCAGGCCAGCCUGGGGAGCCCCAUGGAACAUCUGGAUCCUGGGAGAGUCGUUUGCAAGUGAAAAAAGGAGGCGUGUGCACGGGAAACGUCUGGACCACAAGCACGGCCCACGUCACACACCCCGACCAGGGCCACCCGUGGAUUCGCUUAGGUCCUCCCGGGUCGGCCAAAUGGGGCUGUCCUCAGCCAGAGCACGGGGCCUCUCUUGCCUCUUCCUGCAGAGAGAGCUCCCACCCCGCCCAGGCCUCGCCUCUGCCCCCGCCUGCCGCCUUCCUCCAGCCACGCCAACUCCCGCCGUCCCUGCCCGCCCAAGCUCUGUGUCGGGCUCGUGACUCGUCCCUCCACCCUCGCCGAGGUCCCCAGACUUCGGGAUGCUCCUCCUCCUCCUGGAACUGGCUCUGACCCUCACGAGGACGUGCCUCCCCACUCCCAGUCGGGUCUCCACCUGUCAGCCACCGGGAUGUCCAAACGUGAACGGGGCUCUUGCUGCCAAGAACCCUCCUGUGGUCCCCAACUCAACCAGAGUCAAAUCUGACCCCUUCCUGGGGCCUCCCAGCAUGCGCCCAUUUGCUCGAGGGUCCAGCUGCAUCCUCUCCGCUGGUCCUCCCUUCCACGGAGGCCCCCACGUGUCAGAGGCCCUUUCUCCAUCCCUCCCAAGCACAGCACCAUCUGCCCCCAUAUCUCGCCUCAUACGCCACCUUUUCUCAGGGACAUCCCCUCGCCCACCGUAUUUCCUACACAGCCUCGGUGCGGAGGGCCAGGAAGCAGCCCCCCAGACUCCACAGCUGGCACCCUGGGCAGGCUACUCACCCUCAGUUUCCC